This is a ribosomal RNA of Musa acuminata AAA Group (dessert banana), 119 nucleotides long. Lineage: Eukaryota; Viridiplantae; Streptophyta; Magnoliopsida; Zingiberales; Musaceae. The record is from RefSeq and is a predicted model, not a curated record.
GGGUGCAAUUAUACCAGCACUAAAGCAUCGGAUCCCAUCAGAACUUCGAAGUUAAGCAUGCUUGGGCCAGAGUAGUACUUGGAUGGGUGAACCCCUGGGAAGUCCUCAUGUUGCACUCC